Molecule: long non-coding RNA, 1166 nt
Organism: Bubalus bubalis (water buffalo)
Lineage: Eukaryota; Metazoa; Chordata; Mammalia; Artiodactyla; Bovidae
Exons: 3
Source: RefSeq, a predicted model, not a curated record
UUGGUGAUGGACAGGGAAGCCUGGUGUGCUGCAGUCCAUGGGGUCGCAAAGAGUCAGACACGACUAAGCAACUUAACAACACCAACUGACAACAACUCCAGUAGGUCAAUAAACUUGGUAGCAAGUUAACCAAUGGGCUUUCCUAAAAAGUUCUCCUUCCUGAAGGGUUAUCCUAUAAAGUAGUGUGGCCUUUUUCCUGCCUUAUCUUUUCAUUUGGCCUAGGAACUUAGGUAUAGAGAAAGAAACAUGACACACAUAUAAGUACACAUGAUACCCUCCCCUUCCUCAUGUUUAAAUUCCAGUGAUUCAUUUAGUUGAAAAUACUGAGUGCUAAGCACUGAGGACCAGCAACAGAUGUGGUUACUCCUUCCUACGUGGAGCUUCAGUUCUACUGAAGGAGUUGCUGAGGGUUGGGUACUCUGACUCUGGGCAUAAACUUACUCCUCUUGGGUGCUGCUGCUGCUGCUGCUGCUAAGUUGCUCUAUCUAAAUUCAUCUAAUCUUUUGGGUUCCUGAACUGAAUUCCAACAUGUGAGGUGUGUAUGUGUGUGUGUUAGCAGCGGUGAGGUGGACACAUCCCCAUAACACCAAGCAAACCUUGGGAUACCAGCCGGGUGUCCUACAAUUCAAUCCAUUCUGACACUAUCUACCCAGAGAUAGCAUCAGAUUCCACAGGUUGAGGGUUCGGUCCUGUAAGACUGACCCCCACCCCCAGAUGGCAGUCAUAAGCCCAGGCUGUUAACUGUGCUCUGACCAACCAACUACAGAUUGGAGGUUGCCACAGACCCUUCCUUGAGUUUAAUUGAUUUGCUAGAGUGGCUCACAGAACUCAGGAAACCUGUUAUAUUACUGAACUUGAAAGCUAAGUCACUCAGCCGUAUCUGACUCCUUGCAACCCCAUGGACUGUAGCCUGGCAGGCUCCUCCAUCCAUGGGAUUAUCCAGUUAUCUGUGGACAUCUUGGCACCUCUACAAACUAUAAUCUCCCUGAAGCCUGAAUGAGCCUGGAAGAAGGGGCCCCUAAACCUCACAAGAUGGAUCACAGCUCCAACUAACAAGUUAAUUUCAGCCUGGUGAGAUCCUGAGCAGAAUGCCCAGGUAAACCCUGUCCAGACUCGAGACCCUCAGAAACUGUCAGUUAAUAAACAUUCUGCUCCAAGCCACAAAA